Molecule: ribosomal RNA, 382 nt
Filed under: uncultured eukaryote
Lineage: Eukaryota
Description: partial 18S ribosomal RNA
Rfam family: Eukaryotic small subunit ribosomal RNA
Source: RNAcentral
CGUAAGCGUAUACCAAAGUUGUUGCAGUUAAAACGCUCGUAGUCGGAAUUUGGCAGUUCCGGAUGUGUGCACGUCGUGUGCGCACUUCGCGGGGAUUGCUUUUGUGGUCUUGCGUAGGAUGAGGCACUUUUAUUAGUGAACGUCCUCACGCAACCACUUUUUACUGUGAGAAAAUCAGAGUGCUCAAAGCAGGCAUUUGCCGUGAAUGUAUUAGCAUGGAAUAAUAGAAUAGGACUUGGUUCUAUUUUGUUGGUUUGUUGGGACUGAGUAAUGAUUAAGAGGGACAGUUGGGGGCAUUUGUAUUUCGGUGCUAGAGGUGAAAUUCUUAGAUUACCGAAAGACAAGCUGCUGCGAAAGCGUCUGCCAAGGAUGUUUUCAUUGA